CCGGCUCUCGCCCCUCUUCUCUCUCGCUCUUUCUCUCCCCUCUCUCGGGGCUUCCGUCAUCGCCCGGGCAUUUCCGCCGGGAAGAGGCGAGCAGGCGGCGCCGCCGCGGCGCGGCACGCGAGGAGCAGCACAGCGCCCUCGCGUGGCUCGGCGGAGAAACGGCCCGAGGGGCCAAGGGUCGCGCCUUCUCCCCUCUUCCCUUUUGUCCCCUUUCCCACCCCGGGCCUCAGACCAAGCUCUCCUGGCUCUCGCUUCCUAUCCUGCUCUCUAGAGGAACUUUGUCCUCACUUGAGCCUCCUGCAGUGGUUCUUCAGCACUUUGGACAGGGAAUUGGGACCGCUUGGGCUUUCCAUGGACAACGUUGUCUUCACAGGAUCCUAGCACUCCACGUAGACGGAAGACUAUUUUCAACGUCCUGGCUGAAAGGGUUCUUGUUGCCAUGGAGCUGGAAGACAAAAAACCACAAAGAUUUAUAUGAAUUAAUGA
Microcebus murinus (gray mouse lemur) is the source of this 486-nucleotide non-coding RNA. NCBI's taxonomy places the organism in Eukaryota, Metazoa, Chordata, Mammalia, Primates, Cheirogaleidae. The record is from RefSeq and is a predicted model, not a curated record.